This 69-nucleotide transfer RNA is filed under the name Rattus norvegicus (Norway rat). It matches the Rfam family "tRNA". Rfam says of the family: Transfer RNA (tRNA) molecules are approximately 80 nucleotides in length. Lineage: Eukaryota; Metazoa; Chordata; Mammalia; Rodentia; Muridae. The record is from Rfam by way of RNAcentral.
GGGGAUUUAGCUCAGUGGUAGAGCGUUUGCCUAGCAAGCACAAGGCCCUGGGUUCAGUUCCCAGCUCCG